CCGGAUGUAAGAUUUUAAUUUUUUUUACCAAAAAUCCGUCAUACGCAUAGGGCACCUGGAAGACGAAACAGAUAGCGCGCACAUGUUGGGCGUGCAGUACACUAUAUUUCCAAGGUGGGCGUUGUCUUUGAUGCCCCCGCUUCUACUUUAGAUGCGAUCCGGGUUUUUUUUUUUUGAUAUAUAUAGUUUUUGUUAUAUUUUUUUUUCAGGAUAAUGGGGAAGUUGACUAUUCUUAAUAUUUUCAAGGAGUACAAUUGUUUAAUUGUAGAGCCGAUUUCAAUACAGUGGGCGAGAGAUAUAGCUGAAAGUCAUGGCAUUAAGCUAAGUAUAGGUCAUACUUUUUGUGAUACAGUAUACGUUAUUUGUGAUCGGUUUGAGAAAAAACAGGUGAAACGAAAGAAUAGAGGUGUAGAAAAUACAAAAUGUACUAGCACGAAAAAAUGUAAUUGUGGUUUCCAGUUGAAGGGGGCUCUACAAGCAGAGGAUAAAUGGGAAUCUCUAUAAUUUACGGGAAGCAUAAUCAUUAUCCUCCGGCUUCGAAGCAUGGUC
This 549-nucleotide long non-coding RNA is filed under the name Erythranthe guttata (spotted monkey flower). RNAcentral's name for it is "long non-coding RNA (EGUT_LNC001582)". Lineage: Eukaryota; Viridiplantae; Streptophyta; Magnoliopsida; Lamiales; Phrymaceae. The record is from RNAcentral.